Molecule: long non-coding RNA, 654 nt
Organism: Anguilla anguilla (European eel)
Lineage: Eukaryota; Metazoa; Chordata; Actinopteri; Anguilliformes; Anguillidae
Exons: 3
Source: RefSeq, a predicted model, not a curated record
GAGAAGCAGUUGCCAUGUAAUACUGUCGUACAUCUGGGUUAAUGCGUCUGCAGUGCGUACGGGGGUGGGGCGGAGGCGGAAAUGAGAGCAGUUUCUCUUCCAAAAGAUCAGCAGAGACGAGGGAUAAUGGCUUUUUUGGCGCCCCAUCUCCAGAGAAUUUUUCCGAAUGCUGAAGACUGAAUAGGACAUCAGUGCUGAGGAAAGGCAUUGGGUGUGACACUGGGAGGCAGCAGCCAGGUUUAAAAUUGAGCUGGUGAGGAAGAAUUCACAGACAGGCUGGGCAGCUCUCCAAUCCCUCUGCUGUUCCCUCCCUCUGUGAUCCAAACAGAGAGGAUUAUGGGACAAUCAGCUGAUCCAAAAUCUCACCAUCGCUGAGAAAAGCCUUAAAUCUGUUCAUCUGCAGCUAUCUGAGCCACCAGGAGUUCAAACCUCAAAGAGUGUGCCAGCUAUGACCAGAAGGCCUGACAAUAGAAGCUGACAGAGAAUGCUGGAAUGACAGACCACUUCAAUAUGCGGUUUGUUUUGGUAGAAAUGUUCAAACAAUGUCAACUGUUUUCUAUUUCACAACACAAUUAUUUCUCCUGACAAUUUUUAUUUUAGUUUUUGUUUAUUGCAUUCAUAUACUGGUUCUUGAGGGGGAUUAACAAUAAAGCU